This 513-nucleotide ribosomal RNA is filed under the name Urophonius brachycentrus. RNAcentral describes it as "eukaryotic LSU rRNA". It matches the Rfam family "Eukaryotic large subunit ribosomal RNA", at positions 666 to 1138 of the family's 3401-position model. The record is from RNAcentral. Lineage: Eukaryota; Metazoa; Arthropoda; Arachnida; Scorpiones; Bothriuridae.
CCAAGGAGUCUAACAUGUGCGCGAGUCGUCGGGUCUUGAACAGGCCCGCAGGUGCAAUGAAAGUGAAGGGUAGGCUUCGCGCCGCCCGCGUUGGGAUCCGGGGUCCGCCGUGUCCCCGGCGCACCAACGGCCCGUCCCUUCCGCAGUGUCGGUGGGACGGAGCGAGAGCGCACACGUUGGGACCCGAAAGAUGGUGAACUAUGCCCGGGCAGGACGAGGCCAGAGGAAACUCUGGUGGAGGUCCGCAGCGAUUCUGACGUGCAAAUCGAUCGUCAGACCUGGGUAUAGGGGCGAAAGACUAAUCGAACCGUCUAGUAGCUGGUUCCCUCCGAAGUUUCCCUCAGGAUAGCUGGUGCUCGAGGGAGUCAGUCUCAUCCGGUAAAGCGAAUGAUUAGAGGCCUUGGGGCCGAAACGACCUCAACCUAUUCUCAAACUUUCAAUGGGUGAGAAGUCCGGUUUACAUGACUGAAGCCCGGACGUUCUCAGGAUGCGAGUGCCCAGUGGGCCACUUUU